This 326-nucleotide ribosomal RNA is filed under the name uncultured eukaryote. RNAcentral's name for it is "partial 18S ribosomal RNA". It matches the Rfam family "Eukaryotic small subunit ribosomal RNA", at positions 1470 to 1796 of the family's 1831-position model. The record is from RNAcentral.
CCCUUAGAUGUCCUGGGCUGCACGCGCGCUACACUGAUGCUUUCAUCGAGUAUAUAACCUUACCAGACAUGGUUGGGUAAUCUUUUGAAACAGCAUCGUGAUGGGGAUAGAUUAUUGUAAUUAUUAGUCUUCAACGAGGAAUUCCUAGUAAGCGCGAAUCAUCAGUUCGUGCUGAUUACGUCCCUGCCCUUUGUACACACCGCCCGUCGCUCCUACCGAUUGAGUAAUCCGGUGAAUAAUUCGGACCGAUUGCGAUGUCAGUUCCUGGCGCCGCAGACGGAAAGUCUAGUGAACCUUAUUACUUAGAGGAAGGAGAAGUCGUAACA